Molecule: long non-coding RNA, 2030 nt
Organism: Cyprinus carpio (common carp)
Lineage: Eukaryota; Metazoa; Chordata; Actinopteri; Cypriniformes; Cyprinidae
Source: Ensembl
AAUUACGUUUUCUGUUUUGACAUGUUUCAGGUCGAGCUGGAGGGUUGGGUGCAACUGUGGGAAAAUUCCAACGGUAUCCCACCAGCUGACCUCUCCUGGUUGAAGGACGACACCGAGCGAGGACUCUUUGGCCCCAUUCAGGUGUAUCGUGACAACACCGGUGUACUGAAGAGGAGUAGAGUACUAAAAUCUGACCGGAUGUGGUUUUACCCUCCAGAACCUCCAGGCUACAUUAGUGGUCCUCUGCCAACUCCACAUCUCUUUUUUCGAAGUCGCGUCUUUGUGUGGCAGCCUGUUGGAGUAUGGAAAUACUUACUGAAGUGUCCUCGGGAUGCAGAAUGUGUGGGUCAAGGAAAGGCUGUGUACCUCUACAAGUCGGGCUACCACACCAGGGUAUUUUAUAUUUUUAAUUAAAUUUGUUAAUAGUAAGUUUCCUUGCAACAUAACAAUCUAAUGAUUUGUUUUUAUGCAAACACACCUGCAGAUUAAAUCAAACAAUGCACUGCUGCUUUUAGAUACCAUAUUAAACUUUUUUGUUUUUUAAUAUUGCAGGUUUGUCAUAUUUGUGAUGUAUCCAGCUGGUAUUGUAUGCUGACGGAGGUCCUGUGCUGUGGCCAUUGCAGCAAAGCAGGUCGUGGCAGUGGCAACGUGGGGCAUUGGUUGGCAUGGGAUCCUGCUAUCCUGUGCCAACUCAGUGAGGCUCACCAAGCCAUGUUCCCUGCUGUCCUCACAGACACGUGAGUACACUGAACAUUGGUGUAAAACUAACAUGCCUUGAUUUAGUUGCAUUAGCCACCAUCGUACGGUGGCCGAGAGAGCUCAAUGUGCUGCAAAAAAAAAAAAAAAAACACAAUUAAGAAAACAUCUUCAUCAAAUUGACAAUACGUGCUGCAAAUACUCAAAACAAUACAAAAUACAGAAAUGCGCUUCAAAUACUGACAAUGCGACAAAAUACAGAAACACACUGCAAAUUUUUUUUGUAAAUACAAAACAAUUAAAUACAGAAACAAGCUGCAAAUACUCACGACCCAACCAGACACAGAGACACGCAGCAAAUACUCACGACACAACGAAACACAGAGACACGCAGCAAAUACUCACGACACAACCAGACACAGAGACACGCUGCAAAUACUCACGACACAACCAGACACAGAGACACGCAGCAAAUACUCACGACACAACCAAACACAGAGACACAGAGACACGCAGCAAAUACUCACGACACAACCAAACACAGAGACACGCUGCAAAUACUCACGACACAACCAGACACAGAGACACGCUGCAAAUACUCACGACACAACCAAACACAGAGACACGCUGCAAAUACUCACGACACAACCAAACACAGAGACACGCUGCAAAUACUCACGACACAACCAAACACAGAAACACGCUGCAAAUACUCACGACACAACCAAACACAGAGACACGCUGCAAAUACUCACGACACAACCAAACACAGAGACACGCUGCAAAUACUCACGACACAACCAAACACAGAGACACAGAGACACACGCAGCAAAUACUCACGACACAACCAAACACAGACACGCUACAAAUACUCACGACACAGACAAACACACAGACACGCUGCAAAUACUCACGACACAACCAAACACAGAGACACGCUGCAAAUACUCACGACACAACCAAACACAGACACGCUGCAAAUACUCACGACACAACCAAACACUGAGACAUGCUGCAAAUACUCACGACACAACCAAACACAGAGACACGCUGCAAAUACUCACGACACAGACAAAAACAUGCUGCAAAAACUCAAGACACAAAUAAACACAGAAAUGUGCUGCAAAUACUUACGACACAACCAAAUACAGAAAAUGCUGCAAAUACUCACAAUACAACCAAAUACAUAAACACGCUGCAAAUACUUGCGACACAACCAAACACAGAGACAUGUUGCAAAUAUGCACAACACGAACAAAUAUAGAAAUACUGCAAAUACUCACAGACCACAUCGUAAAUGUUUAAGGGAACUGCAACAAGUGAUGAACCUGGG